AGUCGAGGGGCAGCAUGGUCUUAGCUUGCUAAGACUGAUGGCGACCGGCGCACGGGUGCGUAACGCGUAUGCAACUUGCCUCACAGAGGGGGAUAACCCGUCGAAAGACGGACUAAUACCGCGUACACUCCACCUUGGGCAUCCAAGGAGGAGGAAAUGAAAUUCGCUGUGAGAUAGGCAUGCGUCCCAUUAGCUUGUUGGUGAGGUAACGGCUCACCAAGGCGACGAUGGGUAGGGGAACUGAGAGGUUGAACCCCCACACUGGUACUGAGACACGGACCAGACUCCUACGGGAGGCAGCAGUGAGGAAUAUUGGUCAAUGGGCGAGAGCCUGAACCAGCCAAGUCGCGUGAAGGAUGACUGUCUUAUGGGUUGUAAACUUCUUUUAUACGGGAAUAACAAGAGUCACGUGUGACUCCCUGCAUGUACCGUAUGAAUAAGCAUCGGCUAACUCCGUGCCAGCAGCCGCGGUAAUACGGAGGAUGCGAGCGUUAUCCGGAUUUAUUGGGUUUAAAGGGUGCGUAGGCGGCCUGUUAAGUCAGCGGUGAAAUCUAGGAGCUUAACUCCUAAAUUGCCAUUGAAACUGGCGGGCUUGAGUGUAGAUGAGGUAGGCGGAAUGCGUGGUGUAGCGGUGGAAUGCAUAGAUAUCACGCAGAACUCCAAUUGCGAAGGCAGCUUACUAAGGUACAACUGACGCUGAAGCACGAAAGCGUGGGUAUCAAACAGGAUUAGAUACCCUGGUAGUCCACGCAGUAAACGAUGAUAACUGGGCGUAUGCGAUAUACAGUAUGCUCCU
Molecule: ribosomal RNA, 796 nt
Filed under: uncultured Porphyromonadaceae bacterium
Lineage: Bacteria; Pseudomonadati; Bacteroidota; Bacteroidia; Bacteroidales; Porphyromonadaceae
Description: bacterial SSU rRNA
Rfam family: Bacterial small subunit ribosomal RNA
Source: RNAcentral